Molecule: RNA transcript, 1333 nt
Organism: Cephus cinctus (wheat stem sawfly)
Lineage: Eukaryota; Metazoa; Arthropoda; Insecta; Hymenoptera; Cephidae
Gene name: soma ferritin-like
Exons: 5
Source: RefSeq, a predicted model, not a curated record
CUAGCUUCGUGUGGACCUUCUCGACAUUGUACGGUGUCUGUGUGGAAAUUGUUGUUUCAUGUCCUAGUUAUCCUAAUUCCUAAUUUCCAAGUUUUCCUAAUUCAAAAUUCCCGGACUACGUACGAUCCUGUAUGAUGAAGCCGCUACAAAACAAAUGACAGUCAAUCGUUCCUAGCUUCAGUCAAAAUUAAUUGUGACAUUUGGUAGCCUCUAGAAUUAAGAUUAAAUUCAAUAACUUAUGAGUGAUGAUAAUUGGAAUAAUUCAAUGUAAAAAUAGAGAUGGCCCGAUAUUUUAAAAUUCAGUCAGCUGUUACCAUGUUGCAAAAAUUACAGAAUGUUUUCAGUAGUAAAGAAAUCGUGUCGAAUUAUCAUACACUAUCCUCCGCGUAUUAUCGCAGUCAGACUUUUUCAAACCCAUUAAAGAGGCGUUACUUAUCGAGCAAUAAAGACUCAAAACAAUCUGGCGCGGGAAAAUCAAAUUCCUGCAAUUCUACAAGUUGCCAAAGUACGCCGGAUAAAUGGCCAACGGGAAACAGAGCCAAUUUUCACUUUCAUCCGGAAUUGGAAUCCAUUUUGAAUGAACAACUUAAUGCUGAAUUAAAAGCCUUCUAUUACUACUUGUCAAUGGCAUCGUAUUUUGGCCGAGUUGAUGUUGCACUACCAGGAUGUGAAUCAUUUUUUAUGCAAAUGCAUCACGAGGAACACGAGCACGCUAUUCGAUUUUUGAAUUACAUUACAAUGCGAGGAGGUAUGGUGAAUUUGUAUUCGGUAAAUGGACCAGAAGAUCAAGAUUGGAAAUGCCCACUUAAUGCCUUUAAAACAGCUCUUCAAUUGGAAAUCGAUAUAUCUGACAAGCUCGUAUCUGUAAAUUGUGUUGCUGAGAAGUAUAAUGAUCUAAACGCCAGCGAUUUCAUAGUCACAGAAUUUAUGGAGGAUCAAAUGAAGAGUAUUAAUGAAAUGGCGAGACUUGUUACAGUUCUAUCAGGAGUUGGCGAUCAGGCGUUGGCACGAUUUAUGUUCGAUAAAGAUGUUCUGGAUCAUUAUGUUAAAUCCGAAUUUGACAUACUAAAAAAGCGGAACUUUGAUGCGUCGAAAGACUGUUUAAAGAAAAAACCAUGAUCUUUGAAGUUUUGUCAUAAUGAUGUUGUCGCAGCUACGAUCGAUAAUUCUUUUGAAAAUUUGGAACGUAAAGAAGUGGCUCUGGUGGAUGUCGUGCGUCAUUGAACUGAGCACAGCUGUCUGAGAAGAGGAGUAGUGGGAAAAGACGAAGGUCAUUCGGUGUCAUUCAGGGGUUAUCGGGCAUUCGGUGUGGUGCUAAAUUCGCAUUUUUUUA